CCCACACCCAUGUGUGUAGGACCCCAAAGGAUCACCAUUUAAUUUGGCACAGAUCUCUAGAAAAGUUAUCAUAUGGGUGUGGGACGUGACUUUUCUUGAAAUCUAUGCCAAAUUUAAUGGUGAUCCUUUGGGGUCCCAUACACAUGAGUGUGGG
Molecule: microRNA precursor, 154 nt
Filed under: Amborella trichopoda
Lineage: Eukaryota; Viridiplantae; Streptophyta; Magnoliopsida; Amborellales; Amborellaceae
Description: MIR8565 microRNA precursor family
Rfam family: MIR8565 microRNA precursor family
Source: Rfam by way of RNAcentral